GACGAACGCUGGCGGCGUGCUUAACACAUGCAAGUCGAGCAGUAAGGCCCUUUCGGGGGUACACGAGCGGCGAACGGGUGAGUAACACGUGGGUGACCUGCCCUCAGCUCUGGGAUAAGCCUGGGAAACCGGGUCUAAUACUGGAUAUGACUCCAUGACGCAUGUUGUGGGGUGGAAAGCCUUGUGCGGCUGAGGAUGGGCCCGCGGCCUAUCAGCUUGUUGGUGGGGUGANGGCCUACCAAGGCGACGACGGGUAGCCGGCCUGAGAGGGCGACCGGCCACACUGGGACUGAGACACGGCCCAGACUCCUACGGGAGGCAGCAGUGGGGAAUCUUGCGCAAUGGGCGAAAGCCUGACGCAGCGACGCCGCGUGAGGGAUGACGGCCU
Molecule: ribosomal RNA, 388 nt
Filed under: uncultured bacterium
Lineage: Bacteria
Description: bacterial SSU rRNA
Rfam family: Bacterial small subunit ribosomal RNA
Source: RNAcentral